This 284-nucleotide long non-coding RNA is filed under the name Physcomitrium patens. RNAcentral's name for it is "long non-coding RNA (PPAT_LNC001537)". Lineage: Eukaryota; Viridiplantae; Streptophyta; Bryopsida; Funariales; Funariaceae. The record is from RNAcentral.
GUGUUGUUCUUGUAUUCAUCUACUUAAUCUAGUUUUUGAUAGUUCUUCUUGAACUUCUUGGUAGAUAUCAAGUCUAUAUUCUGUGUCCAUGACAGUUACUUGGGAUUAUUUAGAGUUUGGUUAGGGUAUGUUUAGGAUUGAUUAGAAUUUGGUCAAGGUUUAUUUAGGUUUAUUUAGGAUUUGGUUAGGAUUUGACUAAGGUUUGAUUAAGGUUUGAUUAGGAUUUGAUUAAGAUUUGUUAGGAUUUGAUUAGGAUUUAUUUAGUAUUUGGUUAGGAUUUGAUU